GGCGGGUAGCAAUACCCAGUCGAGCGGCGAACGGGUGAGUAACGCGUGGAUUAUCUGCCCUGAGGUGGGGGAUAACCCGGGGAAACUCGGGCUAAUACCGCAUAUGACCGUGAGGUCAAAGGGGGGUCGCAAGAUCUCUCGCCAUAGGAGGAGUCCGCGUCCGAUUAGCUAGUUGGUAGGGUAAUGGCCUACCAAGGCGACGAUCGGUAGCCGGCCUGAGAGGGUGAUCGGCCACACUGGAACUGAGACACGGUCCAGACUCCUACGGGAGGCAGCAGUGGGGAAUUUUGCGCAAUGGGCUAACGCCUGACGCAGCAACGCCGCGUGGAGGAUGAAGGUCCUUGGAUUGUAAACUCCUGUCAGCAGGGAAAAAGGGACUCGACCUCAUACGUCGGGAACUUGAUUGUACCUGCAGAGGAAGCCCCGGCUAACUCUGUGCCAGCAGCCGCGGUAAUACAGAGGGGGCAAGCGUUAUUCGGAAUUAUUGGGCGUAAAGGGCGCGUAGGCGGCUUGGCAAGUGGAUGGUGAAAUCCCUCGGCUUAACCGAGGAACUGCCGUCCAAACUGCUUCGCUUGAGACCGGGAGAGGUGAGUGGAAUUCCCAGUGUAGCGGUGAAAUGCGUAGAUAUUGGGAGGAACACCAGUGGCGAAGGCGGCUCACUGGACCGGUACUGACGCUGAUGCGCGAAAGCGUGGGGAGCAAACGGGAUUAGAUACCCCGGUAGUCCACGCCGUAAACGAUGAGUGCUUGGUGUAGCGGGUAUCGACCCCUGCUGUGCCGAAGUCAACACAUUAAGCACU
Molecule: ribosomal RNA, 800 nt
Filed under: uncultured Acidobacteriota bacterium
Lineage: Bacteria; Pseudomonadati; Acidobacteriota
Description: bacterial SSU rRNA
Rfam family: Bacterial small subunit ribosomal RNA
Source: RNAcentral